This 1558-nucleotide long non-coding RNA is filed under the name Astyanax mexicanus (Mexican tetra). Its description in RNAcentral is "lncRNA (ENSAMXG00005016258.1)". The record is from RNAcentral. Lineage: Eukaryota; Metazoa; Chordata; Actinopteri; Characiformes; Acestrorhamphidae.
GAGACUCGAGAUGUAUGUAACUCUCUCUCUCUCUCUCUCUCUCUCUCUCUCUGUGCAGAAGAUCCACGCAGCAGCACACGGACAGAUGGACAGAUGCACGAGGGGAAGCCUGAGGCAAUCAGACAGCUGAAGGACAUCAGGUUUAAUGUUCUCUAAUCACACGGUCUGGGGGCUGAGGGGCAGGAAGUUUCGAGAGAAACAGAAAAGCAAACAAAAUGAGACCUUCACCCCUACAUGCCUUCUGAGAGAGAUACAGCUAGUAAGUGUUAAGUCAGCAUUUUUUGUAUUGAGACACAACCUCUCUCUAUUUCUAUCUUUCUCUCACACACACAGACGCAACUUCGUAGUUAUAACAGACAGCUUAAACUAUAAGAAAUAUAAGCGUAUUCUUUUAUCAAAUUUAUGCACAAGCUAGCUACACAAACUGCCCACAUUGUUAUAAAAUGUGAUAAAUGUCUGCUGUUGUUUUACUGCAGCUUUUCUCUUACCUGAGCCGGUGAAAGCGCCAGGAAAGCAGCAGAAAGGACCUGCAGGAACCAGACCAACAUUUCGCACAAUUUUGAAGUCAAUAAGGAUUUAAAACCGAGGAGAAAUCCACUCAGGUGUGCCCGGUCACGUGAGAGUCCAGAGCGCAGCUUCGCCUGUAAUCCACGACCCGGUUCGUGGCGAACGUUUAACUCAAGACUGAAGCGCUGAAGAUGCCGCUCAGAAGAGAGAAGCGCUCAGAAGCUCCGGGUGGUGCUGCAGCUUCUCACCAAGCCGAGCAAAACGUCUCUGAUGCGCUGAAAGCACUGAACGCACAGGUCCACCAGAGCUGGGGGAUUUUCUCCUGCCGGUGGUCGAGAUGUUGGAGGAGAUGCUGGGUCCUUGGAGAAAGUCUUCUGCCGCGCAUUUCCUCUACAAAGUUCAGCCACUUGCCCACUAAUUGCCCCUCAGCUCCAUUUCAACAAGUUACUCAUUGAAAUCUCCUCCUCCAGAGCCUGAGCCUUUCACACUCCUUCCAUCCCCACCCUCCACAUACUCACUCACUCAGUCACUCCACUUCUUCUCCUCCUCAUCUCUCUCUCUCUCUUUCUCUCCCUCUCUCUUUCUCUCACUCUCUCUCUUUCUCCACCUUGCUGCUUUUCUCUGCUUUAUUGUUCUCUUUUGCUGUUGAAAGAAGCUUAAAAAAGUUCACAAAAUGUGUUUCAAUGCUGUUUGAAGAACUCUCUGCUUGUUUUCUGUAUCCCUAUUGUGCAUAAGACUGUGGAAUUUUUCUCACAUAUUUCUAUGAAUACAUAAAUACAAAAUACAAUGACUGGUCAAAUAUCAUGGGACAUGUGACUAAUGUAGUAUUGUAUUGUGUCCUAUGACUUUACGACUUUUUCCAAUACCCCACAACUCCCAUGGGAUAUGAAUGUGGAAGUGAUUUCUGCCAGAGUCGCAUGUCUAUCUAGACAGCUUUAUCUGGACGGUACUGGUCACAAUUAAUGAUCUAAAUUUAUGCGUAUACCUUCUGCGAUGUAUUUCCAGUAUGUACUUAACACUGUGGAUAAAAUAAAGGGAUGUUAAAUGCCCA